AUAUCAAUAAGCGGGGAAAAGGAAACCAACAGGGAUUGCCUCAGUACCGGGCGAGUGAAGCGGCAAGAGCUCAGAUUUGAAAUCUCACCUAGUGUGCGAGUUGUAAAUUGCAGGUUGGAGUCUCGGGUUAGACGUGUGUGCAAGUCCCUUGGAACAGGGUCCCACUGAGGGUGAGAGCCCCGUAGCGUGCAUGUCGACACCUGUGAGGCCCUUCUGACGAGUCGAGUUGUUUGGGAAUGCAGCUCUAAGUGGGUGGUAAAUUCCAUCUAAGGCUAAAUAUUGGCGAGAGACCGAUAGCGAACAAGUACUGUGAAGGAAAGAUGAAAAGCACUUUGAAAAGAGAGUGAAACAGCACGUGAAAUUGUUGAAAGGGAAGGGUAUUGGGCUCGACAUGGGAUUUACGCAUCGUUGCCUCUCGUGGGCGGCGCUCUGGGUUUUUCCUGGGCCAGCAUCGGUUUUCGUUGCAGGAUAAGGACAAUUGGAAUGUGGCUCCUCGGAGUGUUAUAGCCUUUUGUAGAUGCUGCGUAUGGGGACCGAGGGCUGCGGCGGACUCGUUUCGUCUCGGAUGCUGGCACAACGGCAGGA
RNAcentral lists this ribosomal RNA (585 nucleotides) under Pichia kluyveri. RNAcentral's name for it is "eukaryotic LSU rRNA". It matches the Rfam family "Eukaryotic large subunit ribosomal RNA", at positions 40 to 642 of the family's 3401-position model. Lineage: Eukaryota; Fungi; Ascomycota; Pichiomycetes; Pichiales; Pichiaceae. The record is from RNAcentral.